Long non-coding RNA from Ruditapes philippinarum (Manila clam), 2309 nucleotides. RefSeq lists it as uncharacterized. The transcript is spliced from 3 exons. The record is from RefSeq and is a predicted model, not a curated record. Lineage: Eukaryota; Metazoa; Mollusca; Bivalvia; Venerida; Veneridae.
UAAUAUUUACGUUAAUAUUAAAAUCUGUUUUCCCCAUCGAGAGCCUCAAAAAAGUCGAAUUUCUCAUUAAAUACAAGAAGUCAUGGGCUGAAAAAUAAGUUCCACAAUCAACGUUGAAUGGUGGUGAUAGUAUUCAUUUGAUUAAAAACAUAUGUCUGAUCGCUUGUUUAAAUAAUAAAAACAAACAAAUCUAGUUGGAGAAAAAGUCCAACCAUCCAUCCAUAUUUCUGUUACUGACUGCGAAUUUAUAUUAGACCUUGCUUUGUUAAAUGUAAGCGGCCGCCAUUUUUAAAGUUGUGUAUUUCACUGGAGGAAAAUAAUUGUGUUUGAUUCAGAGGGAUAUCAUUUGGAUUUCUUAGUCAUACACCUUUUUAAAAGAAAGAAAACUUAUUUGAGGAUUGUAACAGACAAUAAAUAAGUGUUGACAGAUGUGUAAACAUUAAAAAAAGUGGAUAGGAAAUUGGAAACUUUGGAAGCCUUACGAACGCUGGUUUUUUUUACAUAUUCUACGACUGAAAGCUGCCAUUGCUUUUCAAGUUUUCAUAAAGCAUACGGCAGUUAUUGCUCGUAGGAUACUUAAAUAUUCCCAAAUGUCAUCAAGAGCAGUUUUGCACGUGGAAGGAAUGAUUUUUUCAGACUGUAAAAAUGAAACAAAAAAUUAAAGAGACGAUAUUUGGUGAUUGGUAUUUUGAAUGAAUAGAAGUAACAUACUGUAAGUUUUCUUCUUUUUAUUACUUUUGACAUAUAAGUUAUUUAUCAAUUCCACUUUUGCUUUUCUUUAAACAGCCUGACAUUGUCGGAAUAGUCAGAAAAAAUAAAAUUGAGGUACCACAUGGAGAAAAUCUUAAAAAAGUAGUUUCGUCAUUGAAAAGUGUGAAAUUAUAUUUUGAUAAUUUUCACUGUGAAAUUAUCAAAUAUAAUUUUCACGGAUAAAUCAGUAAUCCACUGAAAAGCAUAAAAUAAAAAUUGGUAGUUACCUCCCCUGAUCAGUUAUUGAACCAUUAAACAGACUUCGUUCGGUCGGAUCGUUCUCUCAGUGCCUGAAAGGGCGGAUGGAUCCUCAUGAAACCUAAAAUAUUUCGCCUAUAAUGAAAAUGUUUAUCCGAGUUUUAUUUAAAAAAUAAUCUUUCAAAAUUCGAAAAUCGCCUACAUCAGUACAUUCUUUUUUUCAUGAUUAUAAAUAAAUACUCAAUUUCAAAGUCUAAUGGCGUGAGUCAGUCGUAUGAUUUUUAGUGGCGAGUAUAAGAUUUACACGUUUCUUUUCUUAAACUUUCUCUGUAUUGAGACUAAGUUUAAAGGAAGGACAUUAUACACCUUUACACAUAUUAUUAUAAUAUUGUUAAACUUUUAACUCUUAAGGUGUAUAAAGCUAUAUAUGUGAUAAAAUUAAUUAUUGUUCGGAUUUAAAAAGAGAAUACUUCCAAAAUGCAUUUAUGAAAUAAAAAUGGCAAUAAAUAGCCUUAAAGCAAGCUGUGCAGCUAAUUGGAUAAAACUCUUCUUAAAAUAGCAAAGUAAUAUUUUGUUCCGGAACAUUUUAUUCUUUUAACGUACAUUAUUCAUGUGUUAAAUAACAGAGACAUUAAAUGUUACUUCUAUUUCGGGAAUCAACCACAUAGAAAUGGAACCAAUAUACUUUUACUGUUGAUCUCUACUUGUUAAAGGGUUUGUAAGCGAACAACAUGGAUCCUGAUCAGACUGCGCGGAUGCGCAGGCUGGUCUGGAUCCAUGCUGGUCGCAAACCCAUUAUGUUGGUUUAGUCGUGACGCGGCUCAUUUAUACCCUUUAUUUAUUUAUUUCAAAGCGGAAGCCACGCCAGCAAAUCUUCAUAUGCACACAGGCUGGAAGCUGAUGCCCGGCAACGAAGGAUUAACGGAACCACGUUACUGUAUACCAAUUUCCAUUAUAUCAAACAUUUGACGCCUGAUGUAAAGAUUAUCAUUAUUUUUAGUAAUCCAGUGUCAAGACUAUUUUCGGACUUUAUGCAUCAGAUUAAACUAAGCAGUGAACAUAAUAUUGAUGAACAUGAAGCAGCGAACAAGUUUCAUCAUGUUGCCAAAACAUUGAUAGACGAAUACACGAUAUGCUUUGAUAAAUUCUCGAUGAGACGCUGUAUUUAUGAUGAAGAAUUUGAAAAAGGACUUCCACAGGGGAGUCAGUAUUUGGCUGAAAGUUUCCGAGCUGGUUUUUAUGCCUUUUACAUGGAAGAACUCCUGUCUGUAUUUAAGGAGGAUCAACUAUUUGUCAUUAAUAUGGAACAAUAUCUUACAAAAACGAGACAAACUUUAAAAGAAACGUUCAAGUUUCUUAAC